Long non-coding RNA from Cercocebus atys (sooty mangabey), 259 nucleotides. RefSeq lists it as uncharacterized. The record is from RefSeq and is a predicted model, not a curated record. The transcript has 3 exons. NCBI's taxonomy places the organism in Eukaryota, Metazoa, Chordata, Mammalia, Primates, Cercopithecidae.
AUUCGGCAAGAAAGGGAGUGGGCUGCAUGUGAGUUUGAGAAGGUGGAUGAACCGUGCUGCGGGGACAGAGAGGAGGGUGCAGCUUGGCCUCUGGGACCUCAGCUGAGCACUGAGUGAGCUGUCUCCGUUUCAGACGUCCACACGGAAGCUGUCCAGGCGGCUCUGGCCAGACACAAAGAGCAGAAGAUGGCCGGUGCCUAUGCCUUCCAAACGCAGGUCCCUGGUCGUGCAGACCUCCAUGGACGCCUACACCCCCUCC